AUACGGAGGGGGUUAGCGUUGUUCGGAAUUACUGGGCGUAAAGCGCACGUAGGCGGACUGGAAAGUUGGGGGUGAAAUCCCGGGGCUCAACCCCGGAACUGCCUCCAAAACUUCCAAUCUAGAGAUCGAGAGAGGUGAGUGGAAUUCCAAGUGUAGAGGUGAAAUUCGUAGAUAUUUGGAGGAACACCAGUGGCGAAGGCGGCUCACUGGCUCGAUACUGACGCUGAGGUGCGAAAGCGUGGGGAGCAAACAGGAUUAGAAACCGUAGUAGUCC
RNAcentral lists this ribosomal RNA (274 nucleotides) under uncultured bacterium. RNAcentral's name for it is "partial 16S ribosomal RNA". It matches the Rfam family "Bacterial small subunit ribosomal RNA", at positions 523 to 796 of the family's 1533-position model. The record is from RNAcentral.